GUAGGUGGCAAGCGUUGUCCGGAAUUAUUGGGCGUAAGGCGCGCGCAGGGUGGUUCUUUAAGUCUGAUGUGAAAGCCCCCGGGCUCAACCGGGGAGGGUCAUUGGAAACUGGGGAACUUGAGUGCGGGAGAGGAAAGUGGAAUUCCACGUGUAGCGGUGAAAUGCGUAGAUAUGUGGAGGAACACCAGUGGCGAAGGCGACUUUCUGGCCUGUAACUGACACUGAGGCGCGAAAGCGUGGGGAGCAAACAGGAUUAGAUACCCUGGUAGUCCACGCCGUAAACGAUGAGUGCUAAGUGUUGGGGGGUUUCCGCCCCUCAGUGCUGCAGCUAACGCAUUAAGCACUCCGCCUGGGGAGUACGGUCGCAAAGACGG
This 374-nucleotide ribosomal RNA is filed under the name uncultured organism. Its description in RNAcentral is "partial 16S ribosomal RNA". It matches the Rfam family "Bacterial small subunit ribosomal RNA", at positions 527 to 896 of the family's 1533-position model. The record is from RNAcentral.